ACUAUAACCUUCGUGAGACAAGCUUCUUACCACUUUUGAUUUGGAAGUCUCCCUAUUUGCAGUUUUUUACUAACUUAAUAUUUAUAUUAAGAAAAGCACCCUGAAUUUUCUUUUGACAGUUUUUGAUGUCAGAAGCAGGAUCAGAAGAAGACCCCUGUGAAGCCCCAAGGCCAGUAACUAGGUGCUGGUACCCAGGGCCGCAGCACUGGCUGCUCUCUCACCCAGCCAUGGAGUUCUAGAACAGUGAUUUUUUACUCUGAUAUUUUCCUGAAAGCUUUUGCAAGCAUCUGUGAUACAAAAUUGCUGGAAGAUUUACAGAAAAGACUCUGACAAGUGCAGGUUUCUGGUAACUUUAAGAUCACAGCAUUGGACUGGGUAAGAAUUUCCAGCACUCUAAUGGAAAACCAAUGGAUUCAUGAGGCUGCUAACCCAAAAUCAAGCAGAACAAGAAUUACAGGGGACUGAAUGAACUGAUGAGGGUGAUUAUAAUUUUUAUGUCUUUGAAAUAUUGCGGGUUCUUUAAUGUUUGUUUUCUAGAGUUAAAGAAUGCCUUUUCUCUUUUCCCUUAAGACCUACAACUUACAGCAAUUUGGUGAAGAAUACUUUUGUAAACAAAAAUGAAACACAUUUUCUUUUCUCCCUACCCCAACCCCUCCAAAAUUCAGAAACUUAUUGAGUAUUCUUUAUUUUCAUGGCAAUAUAAAUAUUUACAUAAGUUCAAUGAAAGUUUGUUUCCCCUGUAACAGGACACAAUUGGGCAAGUCCUCUGCUUGGCUUCUUAGACUGAAAAGGCUUUUUAAAGUCUAAUUUCAGAUUCCUUAUUACCAGACAGUUUUAAGGAAUUCAGAUUGACUUUACAAAACCAAUAAAGCCCCUUAGAUAUUAUCAAACCUCUGACUGGAAUGGCAUACUUGAGAAUGUGUACAUAUUCACUAUUCUUGCUGCACUUACAUAUAUAAUCAGGCCAGCUUAAUGAGACAAAACUUAUUUUGCGAACAAAUUAGCCUGUGAUUAUCUUUGGUAGAAAUGGGAACUGUAGAGAGAAAAAUUGUGUUUCCAUAGAAAACUCUAAGUACGCCCAUUAUCAGAUUCUAGUCCUGUUUAUUGUCUUUGAGGCACUGUCCACCUAUAAACUGCACUGGAUCCUGAAUUCCUCUAGUUUCCUCCAAUAUCUGGUUACAACCCUCCAAACUAUUAUUUCCAAAUUCUUAAAACUGUCCUUUUCCCCAACCCCUACUGGAUGAUUUGAUGUAAACUUUAGACAAAUCGCCAUCAUGGCUCAUGUAAGGAACCUUUGUGCCUGUUUCUGUGGGGGCCACUUAGAGAAUUCACCAAAACAUCUGAUGACAUCAACCAAGACAUUCAAACUGCAAACCAGGAAAGUCCAUCGGUAGAAACUGCCAUCCUCAUUUCAGCAUCUCAAGAUGCUCCAAGAGCAAAUCUGGAAAUCUUCUUAAUGCCCUGCCUUCCAGAGGGCUCAUUUAAAUAACAAUAAGUUAGACUUAUUAAGUGCCUUGUAGAUGCCAGGGACUGUUCUAUGAACUUUGUGUAUAUUAAUUUAUUUAAUCCUCAUAACUACCAUAUGAGGUAGGCACUAUUGUUAUUCUCAUUUUAUAGAAGAAGAAACAAAGGGAUAGAUAAUAUAAACAAUUUGCCCAAAAUCACACAACUGGAAAGUGAUUGAGUCAGGAUUAAUGCCAGAAUAACCCAGAAUGAGAACAUAACCUCUAAGCUACAAUGCAAUAAUAUAUUAACAUAUCUAACUACAUUUGAAUUUUCAACUUCCAUAAAGGAAAAUAAAGUAUUUUUUAUGCUGUUGCAAGCUUUUGAGAUUAAAUGAAAAAUAGUUUUUAUUUUUUUAUUUUUUGUAGGGACAGAGUCUCACUCUCUCGCCCAGGCUGGCGUGCAGUGGCCGAUCUCAGUGAUCUCAGCUCACUGCAACCUCUGCCUCCCUGGUUCAAGCAAUUCUCCUCUGCCUCAGCCUCCCAAGUAGCUGGGACCACAGGCGCACGCCACCACACACGGCUAAUUUUUGUAUUUUUAGUAGAGACAGGGUUUCACCAUGUUGGUCAGGCUGGUCUUGAACUCCUAACCUCAGGUGAUCCACCUGCCUCAGCCUCCCAAAGUGCUGGGAUUACAAGUGUGAGCUACCAAGCCCGGCCUAAAAAAUAGCUUUUAAUCAAAAGAAAGUGGGGUGAGGGGAGAAAAUGGAGGUGAUGUCUACUUUAAGUCAAGAUGGAAUAAUGAGGGCCAAAUUCGCCCUUCCAUCUGAAACAACCACAACACCAGAGGGAAGAACAAUGGUUUUCAAGACACGGGAUGUUAGACAAUGAAAGACAGUGAUCUCUGAGGAAUGGAAUACAAAUGAGAAAAGUCCUACACAUGCCCCAGGUAACUGCCUUGAGGGAGUCUCCAGGAGCAUAGUUCAGGGGUGGGGCAGGGGGAACCAAGAAAAAGCCCAGCAAACUCGCUGAGUUGAGGAGACAGAGCUAAGUAAGAGUCUGGACUCGCUGAGUUGAAGAGACAGAGCUAAGAGUCUGGACUCACUGAGUCGAGGAGACAGAGCUAAGAGUCUGGGGAACUUGAGGCGGCCAGAGGUCACAGGGCAGAAUACAGCAGAGAUGGAUGCACACACUCCAAGAGAAACCCAGAGACCUGUGCAGGGUCCUCCUCAACUAUUCAUCAUAUGCUUGUGAGGAAAUACUUGAAGUAAGGGAAAGAACCAUCCAUAAGGACUACAGGGAUUAGUGCCUAUUCUCACAAGGAAGAUUGAAAAAGAAUCCUCAUAAUUCACACAGCAUUGAGUAGAACAGCAGUCCCCAAUCUUUCUGGCACCAGGGGCCGGGGUAGGGGGACCAGUACCAGUCCGUAGCCAGGGGGUUCAGGGCCCCUGGAGUGGAAUUCUCAGUAGUAGGGAACAAUUAGCCCCAGGCCAAGAAUGGCUCCAGACCCACCUAACAAAUCAGAAAAGUAGGACCUCAAAGGGUCCAACUAUUUCCAAGUAACUAAACUGUAUCCCAGAACAAAGUUCAAGAAUACUUACAGGAAUACAAAAAUAUCCAGCAUCUAACAAGGUAAAAUUCACAAUGUCUGGCAGCCAAUUAAAGAUUAUCAGGCAAGCAAAGAAAGAAGAAAACAUGACCCAUAAUCAGGGGAAUAAUAGACCUAGAGUUGACAUGGAUAUUAUAAUUAACAGAGAAGGACAUUAAAACAGUCAAUAUAACUCUAUUCCAAAUGUUCAAAGGUGGAGAAGAGACCUGGGCAUAAAAAAGAGCCAAAGCAAACUUUAGAGAUGAAAACUUCAUCUGAAAUGAAAACUGCACUGGAAAAAAUCAGCAGCUAAUUAAUUAGACACUGCAGAAGGAAAGAUUAAUGAACUUGAAGAUGCAGUAAUAUAAACUAUCCAAAAUAAAGAGAAAAAAAUGUUUAAAUAUAAAAUAAAUCAGUGAGUUAUGGGACAACUUCAAGCAGUCUAUAAUAUACAUGCAAUUACAGUAUCUGAAAACGGGGAGAAGCAGACAAAAAAUUUUUUUAAAU
This 3537-nucleotide long non-coding RNA is filed under the name Homo sapiens (human). RNAcentral describes it as "non-protein coding lnc-C2orf71-7:1". The record is from RNAcentral. Lineage: Eukaryota; Metazoa; Chordata; Mammalia; Primates; Hominidae.